GUCUGUCGACAGGAAUGCUUCUUCCCCU
Molecule: non-coding RNA, 28 nt
Filed under: Hemiselmis andersenii
Lineage: Eukaryota; Cryptophyceae; Cryptomonadales; Hemiselmidaceae
Source: RNAcentral